UUGACCUCAAAUCAGGUAAGACUACCCGCUGAACUUAAGCAUAUCAAUAAGCGGAGGAAAAGAAACUAACAAGGAUUCCCCUAGUAACUGCGAGUGAAGCGGGAAAAGCUCAAAUUUAAAAUCUGUUGGCAUUGGCCAACUGAGUUGUAAUCUAGAGAAGUGUUACCCGUGCUGGACCGUGUACAAGUCUCCUGGAAUGGGGCAUCACAGAGGGUGAGAAUCCCGUCUUUGACAUGGACUACCAGUGCUUUUGUGGUAUGCUCUCAAAGAGUCGAGUUGUUUGGGAAUGCAGCUCAAAAUGGGUGGUAAAUGCCAUCUAAAGCUAAAUAUUGGCGAGAGACCGAUAGCGAACAAGUACCGUGAGGGAAAGAUGAAAAGAACUUUGGAAAGAGAGUUAAACAGUACGUGAAAUUGCUGAAAGGGAAACGCUUGAAGUCAGUCGCAUUGAUUUGGAAUCAACCCUGCUUUUGCUGGGUGUACUUCCUUGUCAAUGGGUCAGCAUCAAUUUUGACUGUUGGAUAAAGUUGUUGGGAAUGUGGCAUCUUUGGAUGUGUUAUAGCCCAAUGAUGCAUACAGCAGUUGGGAUUGAGGAACUCAGCACGCUGAAAGGCCGGGUUUCGACCACGUCCGUGCUUAGGAUGCUGGCAUAAUGGCUUUAAUCGACCCGUCUUGAAACACGGACCAAGGAGUCUAACAUGCCUGCGAGUGUUUGGGUGGAAAACCCAUGCGCGCAAUGAAAGUGAAAGUUGAGAUCCCUUUGGGGAGCAUCGACGCCCGGACCAGACCUUUUGUGACGGAUCCGCGGUAGAGCAUGUAUGUUGGGACCCGACAGAUGGUGAACUAUGCCUGAAUAGGGUGAAGCCAGAGGAAACUCUGGUGGAGGCUCGUAGCGAUUCUGACGUGCAAAUCGAUCGUCAAAUUUGGGUAUAGGGGCGAAAGACUAAUCGAACCAUCUAGU
Molecule: ribosomal RNA, 958 nt
Filed under: Pseudosperma squamatum
Lineage: Eukaryota; Fungi; Basidiomycota; Agaricomycetes; Agaricales; Inocybaceae
Description: eukaryotic LSU rRNA
Rfam family: Eukaryotic large subunit ribosomal RNA
Source: RNAcentral